RNAcentral lists this long non-coding RNA (1407 nucleotides) under Piliocolobus tephrosceles (Ugandan red Colobus). RNAcentral's name for it is "lncRNA (ENSPTEG00000013713.1)". The record is from RNAcentral. Lineage: Eukaryota; Metazoa; Chordata; Mammalia; Primates; Cercopithecidae.
AUGUGUUUAAAAAUAAUAAGUAGAAUAGGUAUGUAUCGUGAUAAGCACUCACAAGUUUCAUAUGAAAACAUGAUCAAUUAUAUUGGUCAAAUAAUUAAUAAUAAUACUAAUGCUGAAAUUAUAGCACUUUUUUCUAGAUGUUAUGAAACUGUUAGUAUACCAUUUUUAGUAAAUUAUGUACGAAAAUAUGGUACAUUUUCAAGGUCAUUUAUUGUUAGUUUAUAUGAUAAAUAUUUUAAAAAAAGAUUAUUCGAUUUUGUUCGAUAUGAAAAUAAUAUGGGCGUAAGAAAAAUACCAAAUAUUUUAACGCAUCCUUAUCAUUUGUCUUCAUAUAUAAAAUUAAUGGGUGAAUGUUCGGCUAAGAAAGAUAUGUAUAUUCAGCUGAAAAUGAAAGGUCACGUCCCGAGUAGUCUUAAUUUGAAUGAUUUGGGUUUAGUAGGUAGUAACAUGUUGAGCGGAAACAUGUUAAGUGGCGACGCGGUCGAACGUUUAAACUACUACCUACCAGAUGAACAAAAUAAUAAGAAAACGAAAGAAAUUAACAUAAAUUAUCAAAAAAAAAAAGAAUCGAGUGAUAAAUAUAUAAAAAGACCUAAAAUGUAUGAUGUUAUUUUAUCAGCCGAAUAUACAGGACUACCUAUUGAGCAUUUUAUUGAAAAAGAAGAAGAAAGCAACGAAAAUGAUGAAACAAAAUUCUUAAACUAUGAUCAUUCAAAAAAAAAAAAAAGGGAAUUAGAAAAUACAGGUAAUAAUCUAACUCAAAGGGAAUUACCAAGUGGAACCCACAAAUUAAGAAACAAUCAUAACACGAUAUCAAUCGAUAAAAAUCCGUUAAUAAAUAAAAAUAUGAACAUAAUUAAUAAAAAAGAACAAACUGAGUUUCAAGAAAAUAAAAAAAUAAAAAUUGAACAAAGUUAUGCUAUUGCAAAAAAUGAAAAUAUAAUACAAGAGGAUUUAAACAUAAUGAGUAAUAUACAUCCCAUUGAGCAGCAUGGACACAAGACAACACGUGACACGCAUAAAACCGAAGAAGAUAUGAAUAAAACCGAAGAAGAUGUGAAUAAAACCGAAGAAGGUGUGAAUAAAACCGAAGAUGUGAAUAAAACCGAAGAAGAUGUGAAUAACACCCAAAACGACAUGCAUAACAAUAAGAAUGUAAACUUUACCCUAGAAGACGAAUGUGAUAUUUACAUGUACAAACGAUUUAGAAAAUUAGAUAAAUCCACUCUUGCAUUACAAAAUAAACUAGUAAAAAGUGAUGAAACAAAACAAAGCGAACUAACAACAUGUUUAAAUAAACAUGAAAUAUAUGAAGAAAUAGAUAAAGAUGUAACUGAUGAAGCUUUAUGGGAAUUACCAUGGAAAGGUAAAAUAAAAAACAGCUUUUAUUUUAAAAGCCGCUUUUUU